Peromyscus californicus insignis is the source of this 8242-nucleotide long non-coding RNA. RefSeq lists it as uncharacterized. The transcript is spliced from 2 exons. NCBI's taxonomy places the organism in Eukaryota, Metazoa, Chordata, Mammalia, Rodentia, Cricetidae. The record is from RefSeq and is a predicted model, not a curated record.
CCUCUCUCUCCUCUCUCUCCUCCCGCACUGUCCGUGCUCUCCCUGCCCCCACAUGUCCCAGAACAAGGAAAAGAAUCAUAGGUUGCAAGAAGUGAGGAGCCAGGUGUUUGUCUUCCAGUCCAGCGUAUUUCCACUUCAUCCUUUGUCCCCCCUUUUCCUUGAUCAGAAUUAUUUUAUUAUCUUCUCCCACCAAUAUUGCUGGAUCUGACAGUGCCCCGGAGCCCUGGGCCAGUUCUCGGCUCUCAGUUGACUCCCCUUUAUGUGUGGGCACCUGUUCUAGGCCAGCUUGUCCAAGAGCGCCCAGCGCUUUGUGCCUCCUCCAUCUUCCAGCCUGAUUGUGACUGUGUGCUCAGGAGUCGGUCCUAAACACCUAAGUACCUUGAUCUCCAGGCAGCGGGAGAGGGUUGCCUUUCUACACAGGUCAGGGGAAAAGGCUUGGCUGGCGCUGCUACAUCACUUGGACUCAACACACAGAUCUCUAAACCUCAUCUGUGCAACCAUCAGCAAGGAGCUCUGGCCCACUCCUCCAUCCCAGACAGCUUCUCCUUCGAAGAUCGACUUCCUGACUCCCCCUCCAGUCCACUCCUGCCGCUCAGCAGAUCUGUGGAAAGGGACUUCCUGAGUUCCGAGGACAGAGAUUCUAUCUUGCCUCUUUCCUAAGGGAGACUGCUGUGGGCAGGCAGACUGAGGCUGCAACCCACAUUUUUGAGCACUUUCUCAUCCAAGGGACUUUGUGGGGGACAGGUGAGGGCAUGUUCAGGGAGGCAAACACCUCUUAGAACUUCAGGAUGAAAGGUCUCCUCCCUUGGCCUGGAGGCUGGUUCUGGUCAAGCCAAGGUUUAGGGAGGCCCAUGACUAUCUCAUGAAAGGACUGAGGGUUUGACCUUGAACUCUUAAUCUUAGCUGUACUACAUAUCAGAUCAAAUAAUUUUUUUUGAGUGUUGAGACUGAGCCCAGGGUCUCACUCAUGCUCAACAUUUGCCCCUCCACUGAGCCACACUUCCAAACUAAAGACUAGUUUCUAUAUGGCUCUGGUUGGCCUGGAACUUUGUUAUAUACUAGGCUGGUCUUGAAUCCACAGAACCCCCUCUCUGCCUCUGCCUCCCUAGUGCUAUAAUUAAAAGUACAUAACACCAUGCUUAACUAAAACCUAAUUUUAAUUAGAUUUUGUUGUUGUUGUUGUUUUAUUAGUUUUUUGAGGUGUGUUCUCAUAUAGUCCAGGCUAACCUCAGACUUUCUCUGUAACCAAGGCUGGCCUUUAAUUAUUGGUCCUUCUGCCUCUGCCUCCUAAGUGCUGGGAUUACAGCCAUGAGCCAUGUCCACCUCCAAAAUAACAUAUUUAUGUAUAUGUAUAUAUAUAUGCAUAAUAUAUAUUUUUAAUUACGUAAUUUCUUUUAGCCUUAACUUCUAUAUUUUAAGAAUGAGACUACUGAUAGUCAUAUUUCUAGUAGAAUUUUCAGUGUUGUUUUGAAGAAUCUUUAGUGUCUAGCAUGUACUCAAAGUGCUCCAUAAGUGGCUUUUACUAGUAAAUUUUGAGGAACACAGUGACAGGGCUGGACCCUGUGGCCUCUCUAGCUUUGGAUGGUCAUUAUUUUAUAAUCCAAGAGACACAGAAGUCUUGAAAACAAAAACAAAAGAAGAUGAAUGUGGCGUACUCCCCUAAAUCAGCCUCACAGGGACUCUAGCCUUGUAACUGUUUUAUUUUGUGUUUUUAUACAGUGUCUCGCUACGUAGCUCAGGCUAGUCUCUCUCUCUCUCUCUCUCUCUCUCUCUCUCUCUCUCUCUCUCUCCCCCUUUUCUUUUCUUUCUCCCCGCCGCUCCUAGACAGGGUUUCUCUGUGUAACUCUGGCUGUCCUGGAACUUGCUCUGUAGACCACGCUGGUCACGAACUCAGAUUCACCUGCCUCUGCCUCUGGAGUGCUGGGAUACAAGGCACAGGCCACCACAAUCCGGUUUUGCCUCAGUCUCUUAGCGAUUCUCUUGCCUUGGCCUUCCAAGUAUUGGGGUUACAGAUUUGAUUGAUGAUGCCCAAUUCUAUCCAUAUUAAAUCCUGCUUGGGGAGAGGCCUAGGGAGGCCUCGGGCUGAUUGUAGAACUCCUGCCCCCCGCCCAGGGGGUGGGGUGGGGAAGAAGAGAUGAACAGCAGGCAGGAGGCGGGUGCAUUCUGAUUCUUCAGCAGGUUCACUCCAAGAAGUGGUGGAAGAAGAGGGUGUCAAGCCAGAGUUAUUUUGAGUUUGGAGAAUAGGUUCUAUUUUCACUGGCGAGGCGACAGGUGGAGUGACAGAAGAAGAAGCAGACAAAGCAGCCCAGAGUCACCCAGGGAUGCUGCCUGAGUUAGAACCCAGUGCUAGCAUUGGGUGGAACAGCUAGAACCUGAGGAUGAAUUCAAGAUACCCGGAAGCACCACACGCUCCCUGCAGCCAAGCUCCCCUGUAGCACUUGAGUCCCAGAGCCAGGCAGCGUUUCUGCUCCUGGACUCUCACUCCUCAUGCCUCGGCUCUCACAUCGGGGGUGGAGAGCCAGGCAUGGGCUGCCUCUGUGUAGUGAUUUGGCUUUUUUUUGGCCCUGAAAGGCAAUGGACAGUGUGAGAGGGAGGAGAGACAAUGCUAGUGUGCAGACCAAAGAUUCCUACAUGCCAUGGGUGAGAGGGUUCACUGACCCACAGGUCCCCAGUCUGCAACUCUGUUUGCUCACUCUGAACUUACUCUUGUUGAGUUGCAAACGGGAGCUUGGAGGGACAAUGCUGAGAGAAUCCACCAUUUUCAGCUCCAAGUGACUGCCCUGAAGAUGCUUUUGUGAAUCGAGUUCAGAAUCUCUGAGGUGCUGUUGAAAUGCACCUCCUGGUCCAGACUCUGAAAUAUUUUGAUUUGCAAGUCCAAAACUCCCGCUCAGCAAUUCUAAGGUGCACUCCAGCUGAGAAUCCCCAGGAUAGGAUUGGAGGAGAGAUAAUAAACGCUACUGAGCCUGGAAGGAGCUGGGGAGAUUCCAUCCUAAGAGGGCAAAGCUGCUUCACCUCCUUCCAACAGGAGUUGCUGUGUGGAUACACACUCCAUCCAGUCUGAAGCAGAGCAUGGGCUGGGGGUGUAGCUCAGUGGUAGAGCACCUGCCAAUAGACAGGACCCAGGUUCCAUUCCCAGUAAUUGGAUGGAUGGAUGGACGGAUGGACCGACAGAUGAAGGGAUGGAUGGAGCAGGAAGUAUGUGUUCCUCUGGGUGCUGGGAGCUGGGCUGUGGUACUCAUUUAAUUCCCUAGCUGGGUGGGUAUCUGGGCAGCAUCUCCAGGAGGAACUAAGAACUUGAGCCAUCGUCUACAGCACUACAGUUUCACGAAUAUCAGUGGAAGGAGAACUUAGACCCCGUCUGCCUCCUCAGCGUGCACAUGAGGAGAGUUGAUGUUGGUGGUCUCUGUGUAAUAAAGGACAGUGUUGGCAGAGUCUUGACUAAACCCAGAGAAGAAAGCCCAGCAUUCUUCCUGUGUGUGCCAUCAUAAGAGGCCCACAAGAUGGCAUAGCUGGCCUUCAAGAAGUUUGAUAGAAUAAACAUUUUACAAUGCAAUGACAUGAAUAGCCACCCAGAAAUUCACAUGAAUAACAGGUGAAGAUGAGGUACAUAUACACCUGAAGUGAGUUCUCUGAAUAAAUAACCUGAAAAAAAUCAGUAAAUGAAAAGGUAUAAUGAGAUCCAUACAACUGAAGGGAAUUGUCUUAAAUGGCUGAUUGUAAUGAGAUGUACAUAAAUUGUAAGGCUUGUAAUGAAACAAAAAAAAUUCAUAUUCUUGCCUGGUAAUACUGGGUGUAAUGUCUACACCUGAAAUAAGUCAUCUCAGUGUGCUGAGUGUAAUGAGAUGCACAUAAUUUUAAAGAGUUUAAUGAGAUGAAAAUAAAUCAAACACUUGUCUUAAAAUGAAAGAUGUACGAAGAUGCACACACCUGAAGGGCAUUGUCCUAAAUGGGUUCAAUUUAAUGAGAUGCAUUUAAUUUGCAAAGGGGCUAAAUGAGAUCGGCCCAGAGAGAGGCUGAGAAAUAUCAAAGUAGAAGAUACACUUGGAAGUGGUGUAAUAUAACCUGCCUUGUUUGUGGGCUAGAAAUAAGGUGUCAAGAAGCACACAGCACAGCUCAGGCCACACUAUCUGCUGGCCUUAGUCCUUAUCCCCUGGUUGAUGAUGCCCUCCCUGCAAAGCUGAAUUAUCCUUUGACCUCAGGUUGAUGCUGUACAUAGUAGGCACCCUGAAAGGUCAGGGAAUGGACAAAUGGCUUUGAAGUUGGAUCUACAUGGAAAAAAGAAAGAAGGGAACUAUGUAGGAAGGAACUUGAAAGAGGAGCUGGAGAUUCCUCUCCUCUCUCUUCCACUCUACUCUCUUCCCCCUUUUCUCUUAUCUUUCUUAGGUGGGGUCUCUUUAGGUAGCCCAAGCUGGUCUCAAACCCUUCCAUCCUCCUGCCUUUCUCUCCUAGGUACUUGGAUUACAGGUGCAUAUGCCUAGCUCUGAAACCUAUUUUUUUAAGAACAUAUUUUAUUUAUUUGUGUGGGGGGCACAUCCGCCGUAGCAUGUGUGUGGAGGUCAGAGGACAACUUGAACGUCUCAGUUCUUACUUUCUAUCAUGUGAACCCCAGGAAUCGUAGUCAGAUGGUCUGGCAUGGUGGCAAGUUCCUUUACCCGCUGAGACGAAAGGGCCCCUGAAGUCUAUUUUCUGUGAGCAAUGUUCCGGAGGAAACACUGCUCAUGGUAAUUUUUGUUCCCUCAGAGCUCAUGAUUACCUCUCAAGGCCAGGUAGGCAGGUAUGACAAGUGAAUGAAGGUGUCUGGGUGUGAGAUAGGCACAAAGUGCAAGAAAAGGCAGGAUUAUCUGCAUUUGCACAAAUAUAUUUUCUCCAAUAUUUUGUUUCCAAGGCAGAGUCCCGUUGGAUGAUCUUGUUUUCUCAUUCUUGGUGGAGAAAUGGGUUUAGAGAAAUACUUCCCUUCUUAAUAAAGACCCAUUAUAAACUUAUAAACUCUGUACAGCGAUGCACAGCUGUAACUCCAGCACUAGAGUCUUAGACAAGAGGAUGAAGAGGUCAAGGUUGCCUAACUGCACAGUGAGUUUGGGGUUAGCCUGCUAUACAUAACUAGUCCCAGGCCAGCCUGUGAUACACAGAAAGACCUCCCCCCUCAAAAAAAUAGAUCACGCACGCACGCACGCACGCAGAAUUGGGAUGCAGCUCAGUGGUAGGACAUUUACCUAGCAUUUUCAAGGCCUUAGGUUCAAUCCCCAACACCACCAAAUCAAGCCACACCAGACUGAAACACCCAAAACAAAGCACUCUAACCCAAUUAGAUAUUAGAAAGGGGAGAAUACCUAACUAACUACUUAAGGUCAGUCCCAGCAUAACCACAGCUGACCUCAGCCUCAGUGCUGGGCUACCACAGGAGUGGGGGAUGUCAUAACUUAGAGAGUGAAUCUCAGGGUAGCAGUCAUUCAGGUGCUCCAGUCACAGUCAUGCAGGCAUGUAGAUCCCAAAUUGCCUGACUGCCUGACUUCAGGAGAGACCAGGAAUCUCAUUUGUUCCAUGUACAAUCUUCUAACUUCUAAAUGUUGGUGUAACAAUCUUAAAAGCAACUGCUCUGAGCAAACCAUGACUGUAAGCAGGAUGUUAUCUCAACAUCACACUUGACCUGAGCAGCUCUUGUCCGCAACACUGAGCAAUAAAGUUAGAGAUCAUUCAGAAUGGUCAGACUGUGGCUCUAACCCACUCUUUUAGGAUGCGGACUGCCCGGAAGGGAUUCAUGACCAUGACUGUCUCCUGUGCCUAGAACGGAGCCCAGGACAGUGCGAGCUUAACAACUGUGUGCAGAAACAACAGUGAGCUCGUUGGGAUUAAGACUGAGCUGGUUGCAGGCUGCCAGCCAUUGCUGUCAUCUGGCCUGUGUAAAUCAGAAGAGGGGCUUCUGGCCAAGGAUGUUUAAGUCUUCAGCAGGAUUUGCAAGCCUGAAAGGGCCUUUCCGAUGAACUGGCAGUCAGGUCCAGAAGCUGGCCUGAACAGUUUCUUGGGCUGUUAAUAACAGAGUUUUAUUUUAGGCUAAAGAAAUCUACCCACCCCCACCCCCAGUAUCCCCUCUCUGUCAUUACCACAGGGGACAUCUCUCUGGGUUUGUCUGCAUCAUCUGGAUCAUGCAGACACAGCACUUGCCGUCUCCUGAGAACACAACCACCCACACCACAAACCCACUUUUAGUUGUCAGCAUGGUUGAAAAGAUGGCACCCCGGGUUGGAAAACCAUGUUAGUCUAAUUUCUUUGGGACAUAUUUUCUGCUGUGUGGUUUGCAGAAUCCUUAAUACAUAUGACUUGGAAAGAAGGAGCAGAGACGGAUCAAGUGAAUCUAAGGAACAGCUAAAGAGUUAAACAGGCUUCUUUUCCUGCAGGACUUUUCGGAGCCUUCACUACAAUGUGCAUUGCACACAAUGUGUGGUAUAUUUAGCUAGGAACUUUGGGUUAAUUUGGUUGGCAUUUAUUUUUAGCUAAGAGUAUCCAGCUAAUUUGGUCAUGGAAUUUUUUCCUUGGCAAUAUAUAUAUGCUGUGUGUAUACAUAUAUUAAAGACUUCUUAUUUCAUUUGUGUGUGUGAGUGCCCACAUGCAUGCUAGUGCACAGUGUGCCUGUCUGGUAUCUGCAGAGGUCAGAGAAAGGUAUCCUGACUGGAGUUACAGGCAGUUGUGAGCUGUUUGAGAUGGGUGCUAGGAACUGAGUGUAGGUCCUCCGUGCAAGAACAGCAAGUGUUCUUAACUGCUGAGCCUUCUCUUCAGUUCGUUUGAGUGUGUGUGUGUGUGUGUGUGUGUGUGUGUGUGUGUUCCUUGGAAACUUCUGCUUGAAAUGAUAAUGAAAUCUCCCCCAGGUUCUCUCUUUUUACUUACAUUUUAUUUUUUGAGACAAGUCUCGUGUAUUCCAGGCUAUCCUCUGAGUAUGUAGCCAAGGAUGGCCUUGAACUUCUAAUCCCCCUGCCUCCUACUCCGGAGGGUUAGGACAACUUACAUGGUCUAUGAUGUCUGGCUCUCUGUCUUUCCAAUUUGGGGAGGUGAGGUGGUAAUGUGUUUGUUAUCGUCUUUUGAAUCUUUUGACUUUUCUGACCCCUUCUGCAUCCUUGGCUUGGCUGCAGGGAAUGAAGAGACUCCUGGGAUUAGGGGUCAGACCCUGCCCUGGACAUAGUACCAGGGUUAAAGCUGCAGCCCACGAUUCAUCUCUUUCCAUGCUCCAGGACUUUCCACCUAUGAACAAAGGAAGGUGGGUUUAUGAGAGUGACGUGUAGGCCAUGGCUGCACCAACUUGGAUGAUAAAGUCCUGGGGCAACAAUGGGAAAUACAGAGGUCUACAAGGGUGAAGGUCAGCUCUCCUCUGCAGUGCAGAGGACUGUUGGGAGAGGGCAGUACAGAGCAUCCUCUGUCCUCUCUAGACUCUGAUUUAGAGCUGGAGUGCCAAAGUGGACCAUCUUCCUCUCCAGACAGGCUAACAGAGGUCACCCCUUUUCUCUUUCUGAGGGAGAUCAGUUCAAUGGGAGUGGAUUGGGCUUCCAGAUCCUGUCUGGCCCAGGGUCCCACUGAAGGCAUAAGGGACCUCUAAGGUAGUCACAGGAAGAGAGAAUUGUGCACCAGCAUUUCGGUAGGUGAUAAGGUUUACUGAAAACUUUGCGGCCACAUUCAGUACUGGUUUGGUGGAUACACUGGAAGGAGGUUGCAUAACAUUAGGCGGGUGGAAGGGGCUGGGAGGAAGAGAUGUAGGCAUGUGUAUCCAUGUGCACAUAUGCACACAUGUCCGUGCUGAGUAGGGUGCUUGUCACGGUGCUGAGUGGAGGAAGUUAUGUGUGGAUGUAUGUAUUUUAACAAGAAAAAUGAACUAGAAGAGGAAAUACGUUUUAUCCACUGCGUGUUGCAAAAGUCUCACGCCAAAAAAGCUUGCCUUUCCUCUAAGUAUGACAUCAAAAGGGAGUAAAAAAAUGAUUGGAUCACCCAGAUUAUAAAUAAGGUUAUUUGUUUCUCAAAAAUCCCUAGUAAAACAUUAAAUAUCAGCUCUUUUGGGGGAGAAAUACAUUCAUUUCCGGGAGACCUCAGAAAAGUGACUAUCCUUUUGCUCCAUCCAACCAGGUAGAAGAGGGGAAGUCCCAGAAGACCCCAAGGGCCCCCUCUGGUUGAGCCAGAUAGCCACUCACAUCCGACCACUGAAGGAGAUGGCUAAUGCACAUUUACAAAUGAAACUGCACAUCCAUCACAUUAAACCCAA